RNAcentral lists this ribosomal RNA (408 nucleotides) under uncultured bacterium. RNAcentral describes it as "bacterial SSU rRNA". It matches the Rfam family "Bacterial small subunit ribosomal RNA", at positions 362 to 764 of the family's 1533-position model. The record is from RNAcentral.
UAUUGGACAAUGGGCGGAAGCCUGAUCCAGCAAUGCCGCGUGUGUGAAGAAGGCCUUCGGGUUGUAAAGCACUUUCAGAGGUGAGGAAGUAUUCAUGGUUAAUAACUAUGAGUAUUGACGUUAGCCUCAGAAGAAGCACCGGCUAACUCUGUGCCAGCAGCCGCGGUAAUACAGAGGGUGCUAGCGUUAAUCGGAAUUACUGGGCGUAAAGGGUGUGUAGGUGGUUUAGGCAAGUCAGGUGUAAAAACCCCGGGCUUAACCUGGGAAUGUCGCUUGAGACUGCCUAGCUAGAGUACUAUAGAGGAUAGUGGAAUUUCCAGUGUAGCGGUGAAAUGCGUAGAUAUGGAAGGAACACCAGUGGCGAAGGCGACUAUCUAGUUGGAAACGACACGAAACACGAAGCCAUGA